RNAcentral lists this ribosomal RNA (497 nucleotides) under uncultured bacterium. RNAcentral's name for it is "partial 16S ribosomal RNA". It matches the Rfam family "Bacterial small subunit ribosomal RNA", at positions 28 to 507 of the family's 1533-position model. The record is from RNAcentral.
GAUGAACGCUGGCGGCGUGCCUAAUACAUGCAAGUCGAGCGAACAGACGAGGAGCUUGCUCCUCUGACGUUAGCGGCGGACGGGUGAGUAACACGUGGAUAACCUACCUAUAAGACUGGGAUAACUUCGGGAAACCGGAGCUAAUACCGGAUAAUAUAUUGAACCGCAUGGUUCAAUAGUGAAAGACGGUUUUGCUGUCACUUAUAGCUGGAUCCGCGCCGCAUUAGCUAGUUGGUAAGGUAAAGGCUUACCAAGGGGACCAUGCGUAGCCGACCUGAGAGGGUGAUCGGCCACCUGAGAGCUUGGACAGGGUCCAGACUACUACGGGAGGCAGCAGUAGGGAAUCUUCCGCAAUGGGCGGAAGCCUGACGGAGUAACGCCGCGUGAGUGAUGAAGGUCUUCCGAUCGUAAAACUCUGUUAUUAGGGAAAAACAAAUGUGGAAGGAACUGUGCACGUCUUGACGGUAACUAAUCAGAAAGCCACGGCUAACUACGUG